RNAcentral lists this ribosomal RNA (551 nucleotides) under uncultured fungus. Its description in RNAcentral is "eukaryotic LSU rRNA". The stretch from base 186 to 339 matches the Rfam family "5.8S ribosomal RNA". Lineage: Eukaryota; Fungi. The record is from RNAcentral.
AAGUCGUAACAAGGUCUCCGUUGGUGAACCAGCGGAGGGAUCAUUACUGAGUACUACACUCUCUACCCUUUGUGAACUAUUAUACCUGUUGCUUCGGCGGCGCCCGCAAGGGUGCCCGCCGGUCUCAUCAGAAUCUCUGUUUUCGAACCCGACGAUACUUCUGAGUGUUCUUAGCGAACCGUCAAAACUUUUAACAACGGAUCUCUUGGCUCCAGCAUCGAUGAAGAAUGCAGCGAAACGCGAUAUGUAAUGUGAAUUGCAGAAUUCAGUGAAUCAUCGAAUCUUUGAACGCACAUGGCGCCUUCCAGUAUCCCGGGAGGCAUGCCUGUCCGAGCGUCGUUUCAACCCUCGAGCCCCUGUGGCCCGGCGUUGGGGAUCUGCCACGGCAGGCCCCUAAAACCAGUGGCGGACCCGAAGGGCCCUCUCCUUUGCGCAGUAGCAUUCGCCUCGCAUCGGGAGUCCUCGGCGUCCUGCCUCUAAACCCCCCACAAGCCCGCUUCGGCGGCACCAAGGUUGACCUCGGAUCAGGUAGGAAUACCCGCUGAACUUAA